Asparagus officinalis (garden asparagus) is the source of this 1069-nucleotide long non-coding RNA. RefSeq lists it as uncharacterized. The record is from RefSeq and is a predicted model, not a curated record. NCBI's taxonomy places the organism in Eukaryota, Viridiplantae, Streptophyta, Magnoliopsida, Asparagales, Asparagaceae. The transcript is spliced from 3 exons.
AUUUUUUCUCACUCUCUUCAUAUUCUGAGUAAAUUUUUUUUCUAAAUAUAAACGUAUAAAUAGGUAUAGAAUAACAUUGGAUGUAGAAGAUAGAACUACAGUCAGCACAUUCGUUGUCUUUGGAAAGGAAGCAGAAAAUUUAAUCAAAGUUUCAGCCCAGGAGGUAUCAAGGACAAUAGAAUAUAACAAUGAAAGGGAGAUAUUCCCAGAGAUUAUCAAAUCAAUUAUUGGGAAGACUAUAAAAGUUCAGGUUAAGCUAACAAAGUAUAACUUCGAAGAAGGUAAGCAAUUGUUUUGUUUGAUUAAUGAUCUAAUACGUUUAUCUAAUAUAUAGCAAUAAUAUCCUACAAAUUUAAAGAUGGCUUUACAUUUGUUUUUCAUAGUUUUAUUUUUAUACUGAUGAAACAGGCAAUGAGAGCUUCACUGUUACAAAACUUAUCGAAGCUAUUGAAGGUGAUUCACAGGAAUCCCAAGAAGUUGAAGUUGUUGAUCUACAUGAAGACGCUCUCCUACAAACACCUAAACAUAUUUCAAAAGAUAAAACUGUGUUCACACCCUUGACUAACACACCACUCAAGCCAAAGAUAGAAAAGAUUUUCAAAAGUUCACCUUUAAGGAUAAAAGAUCUUGGAGAAGACGAGAACAUUCAAAGGAAUUCUACUAUCAAAGAAACUGAAGGUUAAGUUGAUUAGCAAUCAUUUGUUACAUGUUCUAACCACUAUAUGAAUACAAUAUCAUAAAUAGCUCAUUAUCUAUUUUGUGUUGUUGCAGAUCUCAAAAGAAAAAGAACUUCCAAUGAGUGUGGCAAGGAGAAAUGGAUCUGAAUUUUUAUUGGAGUUGCUACGAAGUUUUUGUGCACAAACCUGAUGAUUUUUUUUGGUCUUCAGAUCCAGUUCAGAAAAGCUUAAUACCUUAGUGACUUUCUAUAUGAUAUUUGCUUUGAAACACUCAGUGUGGUUAUAUGUAUUAGUCUAACUUUAAGGUUAUUUUGGAGUAAGUACUUUACUAUGUUUAAGAUCUCACAUGCAUGAAUGAAUGGUAGUUGAAUAUUGAGCAUGGUCCUGUGUUU